CCAAAGGUCCUUCUCAGGGCCACCCACAUCUUCCUCAAAGGGCAA
RNAcentral lists this non-coding RNA (45 nucleotides) under Xyrichtys novacula (pearly razorfish). It matches the Rfam family "Histone 3' UTR stem-loop". Rfam says of the family: The mRNAs of metazoan histone genes lack a poly-A tail. 3' end processing occurs at a site between a highly conserved stem-loop (modelled by this family) and a purine rich region around 20 nts downstream (the histone downstream element, or HDE). The stem-loop is bound by a 31 kDa stem-loop binding protein (SLBP - also termed the histone hairpin binding protein, or HBP). The record is from RNAcentral. Lineage: Eukaryota; Metazoa; Chordata; Actinopteri; Labriformes; Labridae.